RNAcentral lists this ribosomal RNA (530 nucleotides) under Micromonospora halotolerans. RNAcentral describes it as "bacterial SSU rRNA". It matches the Rfam family "Bacterial small subunit ribosomal RNA", at positions 31 to 579 of the family's 1533-position model. Lineage: Bacteria; Bacillati; Actinomycetota; Actinomycetes; Micromonosporales; Micromonosporaceae. The record is from RNAcentral.
GAACGCUGGCGGCGUGCUUAACACAUGCAAGUCGAGCGGAAAGGCCCUUCGGGGUACUCGAGCGGCGAACGGGUGAGUAACACGUGAGCAACCUGCCCUAGGCUUUGGGAUAACCCCGGGAAACCGGGGCUAAUACCGAAUAUGACCUUUCCCCGCAUGAGGGAAGGUGGAAAGUUUUUCGGCCUGGGAUGGGCUCGCGGCCUAUCAGCUUGUUGGUGGGGUGAUGGCCUACCAAGGCGACGACGGGUAGCCGGCCUGAGAGGGCGACCGGCCACACUGGGACUGAGACACGGCCCAGACUCCUACGGGAGGCAGCAGUGGGGAAUAUUGCACAAUGGGCGGAAGCCUGAUGCAGCGACGCCGCGUGAGGGAUGACGGCCUUCGGGUUGUAAACCUCUUUCAGCAGGGACGAAGCGUAAGUGACGGUACCUGCAGAAGAAGCGCCGGCCAACUACGUGCCAGCAGCCGCGGUAAGACGUAGGGCGCGAGCGUUGUCCGGAUUUAUUGGGCGUAAAGAGCUCGUAGGCGGC